CAUGCAAUACAAACCCUUUCAUUGCCAUUUCUUUUUCAAGUUUUAUUGCAAGAUCUUUUAAUUCUUAAAAAAAGACGUCGUGUAUCAUUUGACAUGUUCAAAAAGACAUGCUCAAUAAACAAAAUAUUCAAAACAGUCUAUGAUUGAAGGACUGUUCAUCAUGCAUGGAGCACAUGACAGCUAGAGAUCGCAGUAUUGGUAAAAAAGUUUUUUACAUAUGUCUAGGUAAUGAAAAUGAUCUUAGUGGAGUUGAACGUCCAUUCUCAAUACUUAUUGCUGAAGCUGGUCUUUGUUGCAAUUUUGCAUUGCCUGUAAUGUAAAAAGUAAUUAUUAUCAUUAAAGCUGAUUUAUUUCGAAAACCAAUUAAAAACAAAUAAACGUCAAGCAUAAGAAA
Long non-coding RNA from Xenia sp. Carnegie-2017, 394 nucleotides. RefSeq lists it as uncharacterized. The transcript has 2 exons. The record is from RefSeq and is a predicted model, not a curated record. Lineage: Eukaryota; Metazoa; Cnidaria; Anthozoa; Malacalcyonacea; Xeniidae.